GGUUAAGCAUCUGGUGUUUCCAUGAGCUGUGGUAUAGGUUGCAGAUGCGGCUUGGAUCUGGUGUUGCUAUUGCUGUGGCUGUGGUGUAGGCUGGCAGCUGCCAUUCCAAUUUGACCCCUACCCUGGGAACUUCCAUAUGCUGCAGGUGCUGCCCUAAAAAACAAACCAAACCAAAACAACAGCAACCAAAAAAAUGAAUACAGAUCCCUUACACCCUGUGGUUGAUUGAUCAUACAUACCAGAGAGUAAGUACUUCAGUAUUGGUAGGGGUCACAGCAGGGCAGAGAGUUGAUUUAAGGAAUGGAUCUUAUGACUUAGGUGCUGUGAGCCCCCAAUAUAUGUGUGUAUACACAGAGGUUCACAUACACACAGAGGUACCUUUUGCUGAAUUAUUUGACACUUUUAAAGUCUAAUUAGUUGUUUUCAGAGUAGCUAGACAAAAGAAAAGUUUCAUAUGGUAUCUCAACCAGUGAAUAAAAAGGUUUAUAACUCUCAUGUUGCUAGAACCUUUGCAUUCACGGAGUAUACAUAAAUUAUUGAGGAUAAAAAUAUUUUAAAUGUGUGCAGUGGCGUCAAGGGAGACAGUAUCGCUUCUGCCUACAGCAGAACCUUGAACAAUGUGGGGGUGAGGGGUGCCAACCCUCCAUGUAGUCAGAAAAUCGAAGUAUAACUUAUAGUUGGUCCUCCUUAUAUGAGGUUGCUCCUGAUUCAAGCAACUGGGGAUUGUGUAGUACUGUGGCAUUUACUAUUGAAAAAAAAAAAAAAUCCAUGUAUAAGGGGAACUGUGCAGUUCCAACUAGUGUUGCUCAAGGUCGACUGAACUUUUCGUAAAAUGGCAAAGUCAUGAGUAGCAUAAUUUUCUGGUAUUUCAAUGGUAUUGUGUUUGAGAAAAAGAUCACUGCUCCAAACGCCUUCACGAUUAAAUAAAAUACUGCACAAGGGAAUCUGCUUCUGAGAGAACGUUAGCACAGGCAGGACCAGAGACAAUUGAGAAAAGCCUUCACCAAAGAAAAACAUAUGUAAAACAAGGGGUAUUGGUUCCAAGCACACGGAGUUCCCGUCAUGGCGCAGUGGUUAACGAAUCCGACUAGGAACCAUGAGGUUGCGGGUUCGAUCCCUGGCCUUGCUCAGUGGGUUAACGAUCCGGCGUUGCCGUGAGCUGUGGAGUAGGUUGCAGACGCGGCUCAGAUCCCGCGUUGCUGUGGAUCCCUGGCCUUGCUCAGUGGGUUAAGGAUCCGGCGUUGCCGUGAGCUGUGGAGUAGGUUGCAGACGCGGCUCAGAUCCCGCGUUGCUGUGGCUCUGGUGUAGGCCGGUGGCUACAGCUCCGAUUCAACCCCUAGCCUGGGAAUCUCCAUAUGCCGCAGGAGCGGCCCAAGAAAUAGC
RNAcentral lists this long non-coding RNA (1383 nucleotides) under Sus scrofa (pig). RNAcentral describes it as "lncRNA (ENSSSCG00000056732.1)". The record is from RNAcentral. Lineage: Eukaryota; Metazoa; Chordata; Mammalia; Artiodactyla; Suidae.